CGAACUGAUUCUUUUACAUUAUGAAGUUUCUCUCUAUUUUCAUAGUGAUCGCAAUGCUGGCAGCGGUUGUUGUCGGACAGGGUUGCAGAGGAAAUGGGGUUGCGUGUGCACAUAGUAGCCAGUGUUGCUCGCGCCGUUGCUUCUGGAGAAGAUGUUCUCGAUAAGAAUAGGUGCUGCUUCAAAAUCAUGAAAUCGCUUUCCCAAGGAUAUUGUUCAUGGAAACUGCUUUAAUAUAAUGUUAUUUUCUGUAAUCUGUUGAAAAAAAUUUUUGUCUUCCACUUCAAUACGUUGUUUUUUGUGAUCCAAACGGAUUUUUCCCUCAUAAUAAUGUAAGAAAUCAGUCAUGUAUCACUGCUUCCGAUAACUGUCAAAUAGCUCGUAAUAAAUGUUUUAUUCACAUUCAAA
This is a long non-coding RNA of Diachasma alloeum, 405 nucleotides long. RefSeq lists it as uncharacterized. The record is from RefSeq and is a predicted model, not a curated record. The transcript is spliced from 3 exons. NCBI's taxonomy places the organism in Eukaryota, Metazoa, Arthropoda, Insecta, Hymenoptera, Braconidae.